RNAcentral lists this long non-coding RNA (431 nucleotides) under Capra hircus (goat). Its description in RNAcentral is "lncRNA (ENSCHIG00000001867.1)". Lineage: Eukaryota; Metazoa; Chordata; Mammalia; Artiodactyla; Bovidae. The record is from RNAcentral.
UAUGAGAAAGUAUGCUGUAUAUUGUUACAAAUUUGAAAUCUAGAGAAUUCUUAGUAAAUCUGUUUUUCUAUAAAGGAACUCAAUAUAUUUCUUUUAUGUAGCUCAUGAUGAUGCUCCAGACAAAACUCCGGUGCUUCAGCAUCAAGAAUCAGUGUCAAAACUUCCAGUACAGGAACAGAAAACUUCCAAAGGAGGAAAACACAUCACUCAGGAUGAAGUACCAGAUAGAUAUCGUAUUCUUGAUCAUCAAGACUCAGUGUCAAAAUCAGAGAUUCAAGUGAAGAAACCAAGCUUGCACGAAUGGGAAGGACUUACUGGUAAGUAUAAAAACUAUGGAAAACCUUAAAUUAUUUUAUAUUAAGCUCAGUAGAAGAUGAUUUUAUUUUGGUUCAUGUUAUAUAUUUUUGAACAUGUAUUUUAUAGAAAUGUUA